UACGGAGGGUGCAAGCGUUAUCCGGAUUCACUGGGUUUAAAGGGAGCGUAGGAGGGCAGGUAAGUCAGUGGUGAAAUCUUCGAGCUUAACUCGGAAACUGCCGUUGAUACUAUCUGUCUUGAAUACCGUGGAGAUGAGCGGAAUAUGUCAUGUAGCGGUGAAAUGCUUAGAUAUGACAUAGAACACCAAUUGCGAAGGCAGCUGGCUACACGAAUAUUGACACUGAUGCACGAAAGCGUGGGGAUCAAACAGG
RNAcentral lists this ribosomal RNA (253 nucleotides) under uncultured bacterium. RNAcentral's name for it is "partial 16S ribosomal RNA". It matches the Rfam family "Bacterial small subunit ribosomal RNA", at positions 524 to 776 of the family's 1533-position model. The record is from RNAcentral.